CAUAACGUCGCAAGACCAAAGAGGGGGACCUUCGGGCCUCUUGCCAUCAGAUGUGCCCAGAUGGGAUUAGCUAGUAGGUGGGGUAACGGCUCACCUAGGCGACGAUCCCUAGCUGGUCUGAGAGGAUGACCAGCCACACUGGAACUGAGACACGGUCCAGACUCCUACGGGAGGCAGCAGUGGGGAAUAUUGCACAAUGGGGCGCAAGCCUGAUGCAGCCAUGCCGCGUGUAUGAAGAAGGCCUUCGGGUUGUAAAGUACUUUCAGCGGGGAGGAAGGGAGUAAAGUUAAUACCUUUGCUCAUUGACGUUACCCGCAGAAGAAGCACCGGCUAACUCCGUGCCAGCAGCCGCGGUAAUACGGAGAGUGCAAGCGUUAAUCGGAAUUACUGGGCGUAAAGCGCACGCAGGCGGUUUGUUAAGUCAGAUGUGAAAUCCCCGGGCUCAACCUGGGAACUGCAUCUGAUACUGGCAAGCUUGAGUCUCGUAGAGGGGGGUAGAAUUCCAGGUGUAGCGGUGAAAU
This 521-nucleotide ribosomal RNA is filed under the name uncultured Pseudomonadota bacterium. RNAcentral's name for it is "bacterial SSU rRNA". It matches the Rfam family "Bacterial small subunit ribosomal RNA", at positions 172 to 687 of the family's 1533-position model. Lineage: Bacteria; Pseudomonadati; Pseudomonadota. The record is from RNAcentral.